UCUCCGUAGGUGAACCUGCGGAGGGAUCAUUACAGAGUUCAUGCCCUACCGGGUAGAUCUCCCACCCUAUGUUAUUAUUACUUUGUUGCUUUGGCGGGCCGUUAGGCUCCGGCCCGACUACCGGCCCCGGCUGGUAAGCGCCCGCCAGAGGACCCAAAACCCUGAAUAUUAGUGUCGUCCGAGUACUAUAUAAUAGUUAAAACUUUCAACAACGGAUCUCUUGGUUCUGGCAUCAUGAAGAACGCAGC
RNAcentral lists this unclassified non-coding RNA (248 nucleotides) under plant metagenome. RNAcentral's name for it is "partial contains small subunit ribosomal RNA, internal transcribed spacer 1, and 5.8S ribosomal RNA". The record is from RNAcentral.